GACGAACGCUGGCGGCGUGCCUAAUACAUGCAAGUCGAGCGGACGAUUCGAAAGCUUGCUUUUGAAUCGUUAGCGGCGGACGGGUGAGUAACACGUGGGCAACCUGCCCUGUAGACGGGGAUAACACCGAGAAAUCGGUGCUAAUACCGUAUAACACGAAAUGUCGCAUGACGUUUCGUUGAAAGGCGGCGCAAGCUGCCGCUACAGGAUGGGCCCGGGGCGCAUUAGCUAGUUGGUGAUGUAACGGCUCACCAAGGCGACGAUGCGUAGCCGACCUGAGAGGGUGAUCGGCCACACUGGGACUGAGACACGGCCCAGACGCCUACGGGAGGCAGCAGUAGGGAAUCUUCCGCAAUGGACGAAAGUCUGACGGAGCAACGCCGCGUGAGCGAAGAAGGCCUUCGGGUCGUAAAGCUCUGUUGUUAGGGAAGAACAAGUAACGUAGUAACUGACGUUACUAUGACGGUACCUAACGAGAAAGCCACGGCUAACUACGUG
Molecule: ribosomal RNA, 498 nt
Filed under: uncultured bacterium
Lineage: Bacteria
Description: partial 16S ribosomal RNA
Rfam family: Bacterial small subunit ribosomal RNA
Source: RNAcentral